Long non-coding RNA from Oncorhynchus keta (chum salmon), 991 nucleotides. RefSeq lists it as uncharacterized. The record is from RefSeq and is a predicted model, not a curated record. The transcript has 3 exons. Lineage: Eukaryota; Metazoa; Chordata; Actinopteri; Salmoniformes; Salmonidae.
AGUUACCCUGGACUAGCCUGUUAUCUCUGUUAGCCCUGUUAGCUCUGUUAGCCCUGUUAGCCCUGUUAGCCUUGUUAGCCCUGUUAGCCUUGUUAGCUCUGUUACCCUGUGAGCUUUGUUAGCCCUGUUAGCCCUGUUAUCUCUGUUAGCCCUGUUAGCUUGGUUAGCUCUGUUAGCUCUGUUAGCCCUGUUAGCCUUGUUUGCUCUGUUACCCUGUUAGCUUUGUUAGCUUUGUUAGCUCUGUUAGCUCUGUUAGCCCUGUUAGCUCUGUUAACAUCUUUUCUAUGUUACCCAACUAUUCGGAUUCAUCCCCAACACCUGUUAGCCCUGUUAGCUGUCCCCAGAGCAGGUUUGUUCUGAAUGAUUCGUUGCCAUUACCUGGCUAAAUGGUGAACCACUUUUGUGGUACCAGUUAUCCUGAAUUUAACUCAAGUGUUGACCAAAGUUACCUUGGUAGUUUAUAGGACUCAGGUAACCAUGCAACAAUUACCUUGGUAGUUAUAGAGCUCAGGUAACCAUGCAACAAUUACCUUGGUAGUUAUAGAGCUCAGGUAACCAUGCAACAAUUACCUUGGUAGUUAUAGAGCUCAGGUAACCAUGCAACAAUUACCUUGGUAGUUAUAGAGCUCAGGUAACCAUGCAACAAUUACCUUGGUAGUUAUAGAGCUCAGGUAACCAUGCAACAAUUACCUUGGUAGUUAUAGAGCUCAGGUAACCAUGCAACAAUUACCUUGGUAGUUAUAGAGCUCAGGUAACCAUGCAACAAUUACCUUGGUAGUUAUAGAGCUCAGGUAACCAUGCAACAAUUACCUUGGUAGUUAUAGAGCUCAGGUAACCAUGCAACAAUUACCUUGGUAGUUAUAGAGCUCAGGUAACCAUGCAACAAUUACCUUGGUAGUUAUAGAGCUCAGGUAACCAUGCAACAAUUACCUUGGUAGUUAUAGAGCUCAGGUAACCAUGCAACAAUUACCUUGGUAGUUAUAGAGCUCAG